This 423-nucleotide ribosomal RNA is filed under the name uncultured bacterium. RNAcentral's name for it is "bacterial SSU rRNA". It matches the Rfam family "Bacterial small subunit ribosomal RNA", at positions 355 to 776 of the family's 1533-position model. The record is from RNAcentral.
UGAGGAAUAUUGGUCAAUGGGCGGGAGCCUGAACCAGCCAAGUCGCGUGAGGGAAGACGGUCCUGAGGAUUGUAAACCUCUUUUGCCGGGGAGCAAAGGAUUCCAUGAAUGGGAAGCUGAGAGUACCCGGAGAAAAAGCAUCGGCUAACUCCGUGCCAGCAGCCGCGGUAAUACGGAGGAUGCGAGCGUUAUCCGGAUUUAUUGGGUUUAAAGGGUGCGUAGGCGGAGCGUCAAGUCAGCGGUUAAAAUGCGGGGCUCAACUCCGUAGUGCCGUUGAAACUGAUGUCCUUGAGUGGGCGAGAAGUAUGCGGAAUGCGUGGUGUAGCGGUGAAAUGCAUAGAUAUCACGCAGAACUCCGAUUGCGAAGGCAGCAUACCGGCGCCCUACUGACGCUGAAGCACGAAAGCGUGGGUAUCGAACAGG